UACGUAGGGACCAAGCGUUGUUCGGAUUUACUGGGCGUAAAGGGCGCGUAGGCGGCGCGGUAAGUCACUUGUGAAAUCUCUGAGCUUAACUCAGAACGGCCAAGUGAUACUGCAGUGCUAGAGUGUGGAAGGGGCAAUCGGAAUUCUUGGUGUAGCGGUGAAAUGCGUAGAUAUUAGGAAGAACACCAGUGGCGAAGGCGGCUCACUGGUCCGGUACUGACGCUGAGGUGCGAAAGCGUGGGGAGCAAACAGG
Molecule: ribosomal RNA, 253 nt
Filed under: uncultured bacterium
Lineage: Bacteria
Description: partial 16S ribosomal RNA
Rfam family: Bacterial small subunit ribosomal RNA
Source: RNAcentral